Long non-coding RNA from Triticum dicoccoides, 657 nucleotides. RefSeq lists it as uncharacterized. The record is from RefSeq and is a predicted model, not a curated record. Lineage: Eukaryota; Viridiplantae; Streptophyta; Magnoliopsida; Poales; Poaceae. The transcript has 3 exons.
UCCUGCACUUUGAUUGAUGUUCCUCAUAAGCAUUACUGGUAAUCCUAUUUUCAGCCUCAGUUCAUGAUCUGGUAUUCCAGAAAAUGUUAGACUAUUUAGAAAUUCAGUUGGGUACAACAUAUCUUUGUCUUCCACCGUAGACAUUGCCUUGCAUGUUGUAUCUGAACUGAGAUAGGUUACCUCUUCUCCAGGAAUUUGACUCAUGAUGUAGGUGUUAAUCUGGUCAACAGUCUCGUUCCUUGGGCACAGGAUCGCUCUUUCCUCUAGAAUCGAACUAUCUGGUAGUGGCAUUCCUGGAAAAUAUUUGAGGGACUUACCACCUUUAGCCAAUAGGUGUUCGAUCUCUGCCAAGAGGAGGCUCUUUAUUUGCAAUGAGAUCAGUCACCUCGCAAAAUAAAAGUAUUGUGCAGAAAAGUUGGCGCAUUUGAGGAGCAGAGGCCCAAUGGGAUGCUUCCUUGAUGCAGUCAUCCCACUCCUUGUCGUCAUUAAGUAGCCCAAGAGCAUAACAUGCAGAUUUGUAUGUUGGAUGUACAACCCCAUCAACUGUUCGGAUUUCUUCAUAGGAUCUGCAUCCUUUCACGGUAUUUAGAAGCAUUCUCAAGUAGUAUUUUUCACCGCUUGUUGGUUGUGCAUAGUAAAUCCUGCUUAUGGUUUUUU